RNA transcript from Physcomitrium patens, 1482 nucleotides. It is a transcript of the gene named COP9 signalosome complex subunit 6-like, with no coding region annotated. The record is from RefSeq and is a predicted model, not a curated record. Lineage: Eukaryota; Viridiplantae; Streptophyta; Bryopsida; Funariales; Funariaceae.
GGAAUUUAGAGAUCUACUCUUUCGGAUAAUUAUGGAGCAUGAUCUAAGAAUAUUGUUAGAUCGUAGGAUCUAGGUUACGGCGACGGCGAACUUGUCGGGGCUUGAACUGCGUGCGUGCGUUGUCGUCGUCGUCGUGAAGAGAGUGUGAGUUCCCUGAACUGGGUUAGUUAAGCUUUGCGAGGAUUUACGCAUUCCGCGACUACUGCCUCUUGUGCCCGUUGCUGUGCAAACCGAAUAUUAUCAUCAAAGAGGUGGAUGAGUGGGCUAAAUUUAGUCAAGCGCUUCGUCUUUGACGUUGGCGUAAUUUGAGAAUUUAGGGGUUGGUUUAAUGGAUUCGUGACAGCGUGGAGGUUGGUAUCGGAGAAUUGCGUGGAGGAUCUUUGGAGGACUACGGUUCGUGACAUUUUUCAUGAAUGUGAAUUGGAGCCUAGAUUGCAGAUUGAAUCGUCAAUCCACCGUCCUUUUAGUUCAGGGCGAGACGCGAGGUCUGGAGACUCGUGCUCAGAGUGAGAGAGAGAGAGAGAGGGUGAGAGAUUUCGUCAAGCAGUGGAUUGACCUUCAAGUUGCACCCUCUGCUGAUUGUUAGCAUCUCCGAUCAUCAUACCCGGAUUAUGGCGCAGAUUGGGGAUGCUAGUUGUCCACCUCGGGUUUAUGGCUGUGUGUUAGGGGUGCUAGUGGGGCGUACCGUUGGGAUUUUCAAUAGUUUUGAGCUUCUUUACGACCUGGUAGCAGGGGAGCUGUGUCGCGAAUUUCUCGAGGUUAAGCAUCUGCAAUACAAGAAGGUCUUCCCCAAGUAUGACAUACUGGGCUGCUACUCAACUGGUAGUGAUGUCCUGGACUCGUACAUGCAUAUUCAUAAAGCCGUAAGAGUUUGGGAGUCUCAAGAAAUCUAUACAAGUAAAUGAAAUGAGAAUUUCAUGCAUCCCUAAUCGUUUCUUCAGCGUUCAUGGACAUUGAUGAGAGUCCAGUGUAUGUACUGCUGAGCCCUGCUAUCAACCACGCACAGAAAGACCUCCUUAUCAGUACUUUCGAAAGCGAAUUACCCGUGAUUGAUGAAUCUCCUUCCCUUAUUUUUGUUAACGCAAAUUAUACUAUAGAGUACUAUCAAUGAGUUGGUGGACAAAUUCAACGUAGCUUAUGACAAGCAAAACCGGUGGGGUGGAGGGACUACUUUCAUUUGAGUUGUUGAAACUGGCCAGAAUUUGUAUAUGGACCAAUGCUAAGAUACAGGCAGACUUUGUAUGUCUUCAGCAGGAUAGAAUGUGCGAGCAACUACUCUCUGUAAUGAAGGUGAUUAUAGAUGUGAUGCAUAUUUCUUUACCCAAUUGAAGAUACCAGCUUCAGGAAGGUAUCAUGGGUAUGGUUUUAGACACGAAACAGGUUUGACAUGCGAUAUUCUCCUCUCAAAGCAAGAAUCUGAUUGCCAUUGAGCUUCAGAGUAUUUCCGUUACAUGGCAUAAAGCAGUUUCCAUAUUCUAGUGA